RNAcentral lists this long non-coding RNA (1564 nucleotides) under Homo sapiens (human). RNAcentral's name for it is "HSALNT0196582". The record is from RNAcentral. Lineage: Eukaryota; Metazoa; Chordata; Mammalia; Primates; Hominidae.
CGCGUGGGAGCCGGGAGGCCAGUGGACCAGACUGGCAGAGCCUUCAGAUUAAGUCAAAAUCCUCACCGUGGCUAUCAAAUAACCAAAGCUGGCCUCAGCUUCCCAGAGGAUCAGACAUGGGGAGUUUGAAGGGAACCAUCCUCGGGGCCUGGACUCUCUCCUGAGCUUGUCACUCGCCUGCCAUUUCCCCGGGCAGGUCACAAGACCCCCCACCCCUCCACUCUACAGCCAACGGGCAAAGCCUCCCUGACCUCCAGCCCCAAUCAGAGGGAACUUCCCGGACACAGGUUUCGAGAACCCAUCUAAAGAUUGGGUAAGAAAUGCUUUUGCAAGCCGGUGGUUUCCACUUUGCUGCUUUCUACAAAUUUGAAGAAAGGUCAAACGGACCUGUCUGCUGGGAGAUCAGUGAGAAUCGCUUCCAAUGACAGAUCGCCGUGUGACAUUCGCAUACUACCCAGAAGGAGUAUAAGAAUUCCACUCCCAGUGACUUCCUUAUGAAAACAAGGCUUCUCUGCACUUGCAGGGACAAAGAAUUGAUGGUAAAAAUUGGUUUCAUUCUAGCAAUACGUGACAGUCAUUCACGGAUACAUGAAUUAAUUGGGGGUGGAGAGGAAGUCCCACUCAUCUCAGGACAAGAAGUAUUUCUAAGCAAAUAAAAGCCACAAUGAGAAACCACUACGAAGGGCUGAAGUUUUUUAAAACUGAAAACACCAAGAUGCUGGUGAGGACGCAGAGCUGAUGGGAAUGCAGCCUGGUACAGCGACUGUGAAACUGGCAGUCCCCCAAAAGUGAAACGCAGAGCUCCAGUUUGACUCAGCAGCUCCACUCCGAGGUAUACACCCCAGGGAAAUGAACGUACGCCUUCACACACAAAUCUGUACAUGAACGUUCACAGCAGCUUUGUUCAUAGUUGCUGAUGUGGUUUGGCUGCGUCCCUGCCCAAAUCUCAUCUCGAAUUGUAGUUCCCAUAAUUCCCAUGUUGUGGGAGGGAGCCAGUGGGAGAUCAUUGAAUCAUACGGGCGGUUAACCCCAUACUGUUCUCCUGGUGGUGAGUAAGUCUCACAAGAUCUGAUGGUUUGAUCGGGGGUUUCCCCUUUCACUUGGCUCUCAUUCUCUCUUCUCUGGUCCCAUGUAAGACAUGACUUUGCUUCUCCUUUGCCUUCCACCAUGAUUGUGAGGCCUCCCCAGCCAUAUGAACUGUGAGUUCAUGAAACCUUUUUUCUUUAAAAGUUACCCAGUCUUGGGUAUGUCUUUAUCAGUGGCGUGAAAACCAACUAAUGCAAUUGCCAAAGGCUGCAACCACUCUACGUGUCCCUCAAUAAGUGAACGGCUGAAAAGCACUGGUGUGUGCACCCCAUGGAGUUCUGCUCAGCAGUGAAAAGAAAGGAACUAUUGCUACACACAACAACAGGCAUGCAUCUAGAGACAGUGCUGAGUGAAGGAAGCCAGGCUCAGAGGGUUACAGGCUGUAGAUCCCAUUUAGAACAUUCUGGAAAAGGUAAAAAUAGCUAGUGGCCAAGGGCUAAGCAUGGGGAUGAGGGACUUCCCUACAAAGUGGGAGGAA